UGAUUUCACAAAACAAUCAAGAGUAACCACACCCACUUCAUUAAAACCCCGAUUCACUAGUACAACACUGACUUUCAGCAACGAUUGCCUCAGUCUUCUCAAAACACUAUGAAGAAAUAAAAAAUCCCAAUUCUCUGUCCUUUUUUCCCUCGAAGCAUGAAGCUAGUUCUCCGACCCUUAAAACCCUCAUUCUCCCCUUCUCA
Molecule: long non-coding RNA, 203 nt
Filed under: Physcomitrium patens
Lineage: Eukaryota; Viridiplantae; Streptophyta; Bryopsida; Funariales; Funariaceae
Description: long non-coding RNA (PPAT_LNC000885)
Source: RNAcentral